RNAcentral lists this ribosomal RNA (497 nucleotides) under uncultured bacterium. RNAcentral describes it as "partial 16S ribosomal RNA". It matches the Rfam family "Bacterial small subunit ribosomal RNA", at positions 28 to 507 of the family's 1533-position model. The record is from RNAcentral.
GAUGAACGCUGGCGGCGUGCCUAAUACAUGCAAGUCGAGCGAACAGACGAGGAGCUUGCUCCUCUGACGUUAGCGGCGGACGGGUGAGUAACACGUGGAUAACCUACCUAUAAGACUGGGAUAACUUCGGGAAACCGGAGCUAAUACCGGAUAAUAUAUUGAACCGCAUGGUUCAAUAGUGAAAGACGGUUUUGCUGUCACUUAUAGAUGGAUCCGCGCCGCAUUAGCUAGUUGGUAAGGUAACGGCUUACCAAGGCAACGAUGCGUAGCCGACCUGAGAGGGUGAUCGGCCACACUGGAACUGAGACACGGUCCAGACUCCUACGGGAGGCAGCAGUAGGGAAUCGUCCGCAAUGGGCGAAAGCCUGACGGAGCAACGCCGCGUGAGUGAUGAAGGUCGUCGGAUCGUAAAACUCUGUUAUUAGGGAAGAACAAAUGUGUAAGUAACUAUGCACGUCUUGACGGUACCUAAUCAGAAAGCCACGGCUAACUACGUG